RNAcentral lists this ribosomal RNA (485 nucleotides) under uncultured bacterium. Its description in RNAcentral is "partial 16S ribosomal RNA". It matches the Rfam family "Bacterial small subunit ribosomal RNA", at positions 28 to 523 of the family's 1533-position model. The record is from RNAcentral.
GAUGAACGCUGGCGGCGUGCCUAACACAUGCAAGUCGAACGGAGUUAUAUGAAAUUUUCGGAUGGAUUAUGACUUAGUGGCGGACGGGUGAGUAACGCGUGGGUAACCUGCCUCAUACAGGGGGAUAACGGUUGGAAACGGCUGCUAAAACCGCAUAAGCAUACAUUGUCGCAUGACAGAGUGUGAAAAUAUUUAUAGGUAUGAGAUGGGCCCGCGUCUGAUUAGCUAGUUGGUAAGGUAAUGGCUUACCAAGGCGACGAUCAGUAGCCGGCUUGAGAGAGUGACCGGCCACAUUGGGACUGAGACACGGCCCAAACUCCUACGGGAGGCAGCAGUGGGGAAUAUUGCACAAUGGGGAAACCCUGAUGCAGCGACGCCGCGUGAGUGAAGAAGUAUUUCGGUAUGUAAAGCUCUAUCAGCAGGGAAGAAAAUGACGGUACCUGACUAAGAAGCCCCGGCUAACUACGUGCCAGCAGCCGCCGUAA